Non-coding RNA from Dipodomys ordii (Ord's kangaroo rat), 65 nucleotides. The record is from Rfam. NCBI's taxonomy places the organism in Eukaryota, Metazoa, Chordata, Mammalia, Rodentia, Heteromyidae.
GGUGGCUCAGUGGUAGAGUGCUUGCCUUGCAUGCAUGAGGCUCUCGGUUCAAUUCCCCAGCACCA